Molecule: transfer RNA, 78 nt
Filed under: Thienemanniella nipponica
Lineage: Eukaryota; Metazoa; Arthropoda; Insecta; Diptera; Chironomidae
Description: tRNA-Glu
Source: RNAcentral
GUUUAUAUAGUUUAAAAUAAAACAUUACAUUUUCACUGUAAAAAUAAAGAAAAAUAAAACUAAAUCCUUUUAUAAAUU